GCCUUGUACACACCGCGCGUCACACCAUGGAAGUUGGCCACGCCCGAAGCCGUUACUCCAACCCUUGUGGAGGAGGACGUCGAAGGUGGGGCUGAUGACUGGGGUGAAGUCGUAACAAGGUAUCCGUACCGGAAGGUGCGGAUGGAUCACCUCCUAA
Molecule: ribosomal RNA, 157 nt
Filed under: uncultured cyanobacterium
Lineage: Bacteria; Bacillati; Cyanobacteriota
Description: partial 16S ribosomal RNA
Rfam family: Bacterial small subunit ribosomal RNA
Source: RNAcentral